GAUCCUUGAAACCUAUAGAUUGUUUGCAGGGAGUCAUAAAGAGAAGCCAACUAAAACUGAAGUUUUUGGUUGGUAUUUUGUAUGAGAUGUGCUCCAAUAUUUUUUUUCACACAGUUCUGAUUCCCAUUAUUUUUUGCCCUCAUCCUCAGGCAACCUGUGUCCUGGCCAUCACAACCUCAACAACGUCUUGUGAAGAAUGCUAGGGGUCUCGAGUGUAGCCAAAGGAAGUUAUAACUGCUGUGGAAUGAAAAAGACGAACUAUGUACACUGAGGUUGCUUCUCCUAAUUCCCAAUAAGAGAUGACUUCUUUCUUCAGCUAUAUAUGAGAUAUGUAGAAUUGGCACCCAAAUAAGUGGAGUCCUGCCCAUGUUGAUAGGAAUACGAUCGAGAUCAAUAUAUCCUACCGAGGAUGCUAAAAAUUUGGUGGAGAGGAGGAUUGUUAUUCUUAGAGACAUAUGUGUUGGAAGCAACAAAUGUGGAGGAUGCACUCUUGAUUGUUGAAGAAGAUCUUGAGCAUUGUAAAACAAAAGAAUUUUGCUGCAGAUAUAAGUGUUGCUAAAUUAUUGUCGGAAACAGUCUUUCUACCCUACAAAGAUAGUGGUAAGAUCCGCGUACACCUACCCUUUUGAAAUCACACUUGUCGAAUUACACUGAAUAUGUUGCUGUUGUCGUUGUACGUGGUAUUCAAUU
This is a long non-coding RNA of Lycium barbarum (goji berry), 690 nucleotides long. RefSeq lists it as uncharacterized. NCBI's taxonomy places the organism in Eukaryota, Viridiplantae, Streptophyta, Magnoliopsida, Solanales, Solanaceae. The transcript is spliced from 3 exons. The record is from RefSeq and is a predicted model, not a curated record.